Molecule: long non-coding RNA, 1995 nt
Organism: Macaca mulatta (Rhesus monkey)
Lineage: Eukaryota; Metazoa; Chordata; Mammalia; Primates; Cercopithecidae
Source: RefSeq, a predicted model, not a curated record
CAUACUUUUAAUUUGUCAGGUCAGCUAAAGUGGGUGGUUAGUAGAGAAAAGUGAUCUUGUGAGCUGGCAAGUUGUUCUUCCAUUCCUCCUUCCGUGUAUUUGUGUGGGGUUCAGUCUCAAGGCUCAAGACCACUUGCGCCAGCAGCGUGUGUCAGCAAGAUAGCAGAAGCAGGAAGAGAGCUGGCUGGAAGACACAUACCCCGUGAAGACCAAGAGAGAAGCCAUCCGGGUACUGCGUAGCAGUUACAUCAGACGGAGACACUUCCUGUUUACAGGAGACUAUAAAGCCCCUGCCCUGUCCUCAUUUGGUGCUGAUGCCAUUUUAGGCCUCAGGCCCUCUACACCCAGGCACUCAUUAAAACAGUGUGUUGCUCCACGCCAUCUUGUGUUGUCUCUUGGCGCACUCUCAGGGUUCGAACCCAUACAAAAGCCUUGCAUCAUACUAUCUCCCUUUCGCCCUCAUGAGACGCUGCGCAACACCAAAGGCACCCUCUUUUCAUAGUCCCUUUGAAAUCACCUAUGGCCGAACUUUUGUCUUGGGGCCUCCACCCUUACCAGACUCUGAGCCACUCGGGAAUUAUCUCCCCUCCUUAAUCCAGACAAUGUCUUUCAUUCUUGAAGCAGGAAAUGAGGCCAUGCCCCUUCCUGUCAACAUCUCCUUGUCCUCUCAACAUAACUGUCUUGCAGGCACAGAUGUGUUUAUCUGCCAACUCGACCCUCACAAAAACCUACAACCGAAGUGGACAGGCCCCGUACACUGUGAUACUCAGCACGCCAACUGCAGUGAGAGUCCAAGGACUCCCCCACUGGACCCAUCGCACCAGGAUCAAGCUCACCCCCAAGACUACUCCUUCCUCCAAAACAUUAACAGCGGGCAACACCCUCAGAGUCCCUGUAUAUAAUAACCGAAACAACAACAACAACAACAAAAUGAUCCUUAAAGGUAGGAGGAAGCCAAAGAUGGCAACAGGACAAAUGGCCUCCACAACAGAUCAUGGAGUAUUACAGUCCUGCCACUUGGGCUGAGGAUGGUUCACGGGGUUAUCGGACUCCCAUAUAUAUGCUAAAUAGAAUAAUAAGACUACAGGCGGUUCUAGAGAUAAUCACUAAACAAACCGCCUCAGCCCUGGAAAUGCUUGCGCAACAACAAAACUAAAUGAGCACAGCAAUUUAUCAAAACAGGCUAGCACUAGACUACUUAUUAGCAGAAGGUGGGGUCUGUGGUAAGUUUAAUAUCUCCAACUGUUGUCUUAACAUAGACGAUAACAGAAAAGCAGUACUAGAAAUCCCUUCAAACAUCAGAAAAGUAGCCCACAUACCAGCCUAAAGCUGGAAGGGAUGGGACCCAAUAAACGUUCUAGGAGGGUGGUUCUCUAAUUUAGGAGGAUUUAAAACACUGGAAGGAACAGUAAUCUUCAUCAUUGGGUUCCUCCUAUUUCUCCCCCGUGUUAUCUCACUAAUAAUAAAAGCUAUUAAAAGUCUUGUUGAAACUACGGUUAACCGCCAGACAAUCCAGACGAUGCUCCUGCUGCAAUGACACUAUGAAUACCAACCCAUCUCUCAAGAAUACCCCCCAAAUUAAGUUUUUCUGUUUCCAAGGUGCCCCCCACCCCCCAUAUCACGACUGAAGCAGUCAUUGAGAACGUCCCUUUUCCCUUUUUCCAUAACCAAAUAGACUUUCCCCAGGGCCUGGAAGCUCGGCAGGGGGUGAAUAACUCCUCCCUCCUCAGGCUCAGUCCCAAGGCACAAGGCCACUGACGCCAGCAGCCUGCGUCAGCAAGAUAACAGAAGCAGGAAGAGAGCUGGCUGGAAGACACAUACCCCCUGAAGACCGAGAGAGAGGCCAUCCGGGUACUGCGUAGCAGUUACAUCAGACUGAGACACUUCCUGUUUACAGGAGACUAUAAAGCCCCUGCCCUGUCCUCAUUUGAUGCUGAUGCCAUUUUAGGCCUCAGCCCGUCUGCACCCAGGCGCUCAUUAAAACAGUGUGUUGCU